Molecule: ribosomal RNA, 462 nt
Filed under: uncultured bacterium
Lineage: Bacteria
Description: partial 16S ribosomal RNA
Rfam family: Bacterial small subunit ribosomal RNA
Source: RNAcentral
AUGCACGCUGACAGAAUGCUUAACACAUGCAAGUCUUUGGCGAAGCUGUGCUCGCACAGCCUAGCCAAGGCGGACGGGUGAGUAACGCGUAAGGAACUUGCCCUGCAGUCAGGGAUAACAGACGGAAACGACUGAUAAGACCUGGUAAAGUCAGGCGGACUCAUGUCCAGCCUGAUGAAAAGAGAUGUUGCAGGAGAGCCUUGCGUCCUAUUAGCUUGUUGGUGGGGUAACGGCCCACCAAGGCGAUGAUAGGUAGCCGGCCUGAGAGGGUGGACGGCCACAAGGGGACUGAGAUACGGCCCUUACUCCUACGGGAGGCAGCAGUGGGGAAUAUUGGACAAUGGGGGCAACCCUGAUCCAGCAAUUCUGUGUGCACGAUGAAGGUUUUCGGAUUGUAAAGUGCUUUCAGCAGGGAAGAAAAAAAUGACGGUACCUGCAGAAGAAGCGACGGCUAAAUACGUG